GUUGAUCCUGCCGGAGGUUACUGCUAUCGAGGUUCGACUAAGCCAUGCGAGUCGAAUGUAGCAAUACAUGGCGUACUGCUCAGUAACACGUGGAUAACCUACCCUUGAGUCGGGGAUAAACCCGGGAAACUGGGUAUAAUACCCGAUAGAUCUCGACUGCUGGAAUGCAUCGAGCUUUAAAGCUCCGGCGCUCAAGGAUGGAUCUGCGGCCUAUCAGGUAGUAGUGGGUGUAGCAUACCUACUAGCCUACGACGGGUACGGGUUGUGAGAGCAAGAGCCCGGAGAUGGAUUCUGAGACACGAAUCCAGGCCCUACGGGGUGCAGCAGGCGCGAAAACUUUACAAUGCUGGAAACAGCGAUAAGGGGACCUCGAGUGCCAGGUUACAAAUCUGGCUGUCGUGAUGCCUAAAAAGCAUUGCAUAGCAAGGGCCGGGCAAGACCGGUGCCAGCCGCCGCGGUAACACCGGCGGCUCGAGUGGUAACCGUUAUUAUUGGGUCUAAAGGGUCUGUAGCCGGCCGGAUAAGUCUCUUGGGAAAUCCAGCAGCUCAACUGUUGGGCUUUCAGGAGAUACUGUCUGGCUCGAGGCCGGGAGAGGUGAGAGGUACUUCAGGGGUAGGGGUGAAAUCUUGUAAUCCUUGAAGGACCACCAGUGGCGAAGGCGUCUCACCAGAACGGACCUGACGGCAAGGGACGAAAGCUAGGGGCACGAACCGGAUUAGAUACCCGGGUAGUCCUAGCCGUAAACGAUACUCGCUAGGUGUCGGCCACGGUGCGACCGUUGUCGGUGCCGUAGGGAAGCCGUGAAGCGAGCCACCUGGGAAGUACGGCCGCAAGGCUGAAACUUAAAGGAAUUGGCGGGGGAGCACCACAAC
Molecule: ribosomal RNA, 873 nt
Filed under: uncultured archaeon
Lineage: Archaea
Description: bacterial SSU rRNA
Rfam family: Archaeal small subunit ribosomal RNA
Source: RNAcentral